This 293-nucleotide unclassified non-coding RNA is filed under the name uncultured Boletales. RNAcentral's name for it is "sequence contains ITS2". Lineage: Eukaryota; Fungi; Basidiomycota; Agaricomycetes; Boletales. The record is from RNAcentral.
AACUAUCAACCAAAUUAUUUUAUUUGGAUUGGAUUUGGGAUUUGCUGGCUUUUGGUAGUUAGCUUUCCUUAAAAGCAUUAGCAUUCCAUGCACGGCCUCUGACGUGAUAAUGAUCGUUGUGGGCUGGAAGUGGAUUUGUUACUUUUAUGUGUGGCAUGGCCUUGUAAUGAGGCUGGAAGCACAACUGGAGUGUAAUUAUGAAGCUUGAAGUGCUAGUCUUGCGUGCACGGCCUUGUAGUGAGGCUGGAGCGCAUCUCGAAGCUUCUAGUGUUAGUCUUUACAUGACAAUUAAC